This 281-nucleotide ribosomal RNA is filed under the name uncultured bacterium. RNAcentral describes it as "partial 16S ribosomal RNA". It matches the Rfam family "Bacterial small subunit ribosomal RNA", at positions 333 to 606 of the family's 1533-position model. The record is from RNAcentral.
CAUCUCCUACGGGAGGCAGCAGUAGGGAAUCUUCCACAAUGGACGAAAGUCUGAUGGAGCAACGCCGCGUGAGUGAAGAAGGGUUUCGGCUCGUAAAGCUCUGUUGGUAGUGAAGAAAGAUAGAGGUAGUAACUGGCCUUUAUUUGACGGUAAUUACUUAGAAAGUCACGGCUAACUACGUGCCAGCAGCCGCGGUAAUACGUAGGUGGCAAGCGUUGUCCGGAUUUAUUGGGCGUAAAGCGAGUGCAGGCGGGUUAAUAAGUCUUAUGUGGAAGCCUUUG